AGUGAACGCUGGCGGUAGGCCUAACACAUGCAAGUCGAACGGCAGCACAGUAAGAGCUUGCUCUUACGGGUGGCGAGUGGCGGACGGGUGAGGAAUACAUCGGAAUCUACUUUUUCGUGGGGGAUAACGUAGGGAAACUUACGCUAAUACCGCAUACGACCUACGGGUGAAAGCAGGGGAUCUUCGGACCUUGCGCGAUUGAAUGAGCCGAUGUCGGAUUAGCUAGUUGGCGGGGUAAAGGCCCACCCAGGCGACGAUCCGUAGCUGGUCUGAGAGGAUGAUCAGCCACACUUGAACUGAGACACGGUCCAGACUCCUACGGGAGGCAGCAGUGGGGAAUAUUGGACAAUGGGCGCAAGCCUGAUCCAGCCAUACCGCGUGGGUGAAGAAGGCCUUCGGGUUUUAAAGCCCUUUUGUUGGGAAAGAAAAGCAGCAGGUUAAUACCCCGCUGUUCUGACGGUACCCAAAGAAUAAGCACCGGCUAACUUCGUG
This 492-nucleotide ribosomal RNA is filed under the name uncultured bacterium. RNAcentral describes it as "partial 16S ribosomal RNA". It matches the Rfam family "Bacterial small subunit ribosomal RNA", at positions 29 to 507 of the family's 1533-position model. The record is from RNAcentral.